This 495-nucleotide ribosomal RNA is filed under the name uncultured bacterium. RNAcentral's name for it is "partial 16S ribosomal RNA". It matches the Rfam family "Bacterial small subunit ribosomal RNA", at positions 28 to 507 of the family's 1533-position model. The record is from RNAcentral.
GAUGAACGCUGGCGGCGUGCCUAAUACAUGCAAGUAGAACGCUGAAGGAGGAGCUUGCUCUUCUGGAUGAGUUGCGAACGGGUGAGUAACGCGUAGGUAACCUGCCUGGUAGCGGGGGAUAACUAUUGGAAACGAUAGCUAAUACCGCAUGACAACAGUUAUUACAUGAUAACUGUUUAAAAGGGGCAACUGCUCCACUACCAGAUGGACCUGCGUUGUAUUAGCUAGUUGGUGAGGUAACGGCUCACCAAGGCGACGCUACAUAGCCGACCUGAGAGGGUGAUCGGCCACACUGGGACUGAGACACGGCCCAGACUCCUACGGGAGGCAGCAGUAGGGAAGCUUCGGCAAUGGACGGAAGUCUGACCGAGCAACGCCGCGUGAGUGAAGAAGGUUUUCGGAUCGUAAAGCUCUGUUGUAAGAGAAGAACGAGUGUGAGAGUGGAAAGUUCACACUGUGACGGUAUCUUACCAGAAAGGGACGGCUAACUACGUG